This 74-nucleotide transfer RNA is filed under the name Dermonema virens. RNAcentral describes it as "tRNA-Val". It matches the Rfam family "tRNA". Rfam says of the family: Transfer RNA (tRNA) molecules are approximately 80 nucleotides in length. Lineage: Eukaryota; Rhodophyta; Florideophyceae; Nemaliales; Liagoraceae. The record is from RNAcentral.
GGACAUAUAGCUCAGCUGGUUAGAGUAUCACGUUGACAUCGUGGAAGCCACUGGUUCAAAUCCAGUUAUGUCCA